GAUGAACGCUGGCGGCGUGCUUAACACAUGCAAGUCGAACGAAGCAUUCAUGACAGAUUCUUCGGAUGAUGGAUUGAUUGACUGAGUGGCGGACGGGUGAGUAACGCGUGGGCAACCUGCCUCAUACAGGGGGAUAACAGUUAGAAAUGACUGCUAAUACCGCAUAAGCGCACAGUACCGCAUGGUACGGUGUGAAAAACUCCGGUGGUAUGAGAUGGACCCGCGUCUGAUUAGCUAGUUGGUGGGGUAACGGCCUACCAAGGCGACGAUCAGUAGCCGGCCUGAGAGGGUGAACGGCCACAUUGGGACUGAGACACGGCCCAA
This 324-nucleotide ribosomal RNA is filed under the name uncultured bacterium. RNAcentral describes it as "bacterial SSU rRNA". It matches the Rfam family "Bacterial small subunit ribosomal RNA", at positions 28 to 334 of the family's 1533-position model. The record is from RNAcentral.